This 864-nucleotide long non-coding RNA is filed under the name Gossypium raimondii (Peruvian cotton). RNAcentral's name for it is "long non-coding RNA (GRAI_LNC009002)". The record is from RNAcentral. Lineage: Eukaryota; Viridiplantae; Streptophyta; Magnoliopsida; Malvales; Malvaceae.
CACAUUUCAAUCAGCAAAUACUAGUUCCAUACUUUUCAAAACAUACCACAAACUUGACCAUUAUCAUACCAUUCCAAAUAUACCAUAUAAAACCCAAAUUCUGCCUGGGCCCGCACACACAAAUUAAACCAACCAAAAAUAAUAAUCAAAAAGACCAGUCCGUUUACAUUGGAGCCUGAAAAUUAAAAUAAACCCAUUUCAUCAAACCCACUAUUCAGCCCAAAACAAAUAAACCCAAUACACCCCGGCCCAAUAACCAAAAUUACAAAACCAGCCUAAUUAGGGCCCAAAACACUUAGCCCGAGCCUAACCCUAAAUCAGCAGGUUGCCUCCGUUCGGCUCUCCACGCGCGCCGCUUCCCCUACGCGAACCAGGCCUCCAUGCCAGCUGGCCAUCCACCUAAAAUAGAAACAAACAAGCAGCAGUGAAAGAAACCGAAUAACAGCAAAAAAGCAAGCAAUCGGAUUACAGCAAAGAAAAUAACAGAAUAAGAGGAUAGAUUUUUUUUUAUAUUUUUUUCAUUUUUCAUUUCUUUCUUUUUCUGUUAUUUCGGCUAUAUAAAGCCAAAUACAGCUCUGUAAAAGGGGUUACUGAAAUCGAAAAUACAAAAACAGAAAUCCAAAGCAACGAAAUCAGAAUGUUUUUUAAGGUGAUAGAAAAUCUUGUUUUCUUCUUUCGAGUAUUUUCUUUCUUUUUUUCUUUAAACUUUCCAUUUUUUUACUGAAUAUAGAUAGAAAAGAGAAGCAAAAUAUAAAAAGGGGGAUUUACCUUCAUAAAAAUGCCGUCCAAACCUCGUUUAUUCCGUUCAAAUCGGUUUAGAUGAGGGAUUUUAGAGUUGAAGCGGCGAAAAUGGAGGAGAGAUUU